UACACUAUUUUCAUAUAUUACAAGCAUUUAUUUCAUAUUUAUUGCCGUAUGGACAAAAAGGACCUUUCUUUUCAGAACUGUUGCAAUAAAUACACAACUGUGAAUCUUUUCUUAUCUCUUGUUUCCAGAAGGUAGCUCCCCAGCAGUUCCCAGUAACCUUGGGGUACUUGAAUCAUUCUCAGAUUUCCGCGGGGUUUGCCCAGGCUUGCUUUGGCCUCCAGCUGCCUUGUUAACUGUCAACCUCCGACUUGAUGGAGCUCG
This 261-nucleotide unclassified non-coding RNA is filed under the name Hevea brasiliensis (rubber tree). Lineage: Eukaryota; Viridiplantae; Streptophyta; Magnoliopsida; Malpighiales; Euphorbiaceae. The record is from RNAcentral.